GAUGAUGUUUAAGAGCAUUUUUACUUGACACGUAUUGCUUAAAGCAUUUCUAUGGGGCUAAGAUGCAGGUUUUAUCUUGGCUAAAAGUAUAUUAUAAAAGUGUAUUAUAAAAUUCAACAAGAGAAGACCAAAACAGGAACAUUACUGGUCAAUUUCAUCCAUGUGAUCAGAGAGAUUUACACACUUUGUUUUUUAGCUGUCUGCAUCAUUUAAAAAAAUUUUUUUAUCAAGAUUAUCUUCAGGGUCUCUUCAGUCAAGGAAAUUAACUGACAAAUUAAUGUGAAAUGUUUUUUCAACAUUAUUUUUUAAAAUAGCAAUUUAAUGUCUAAACAUAACAUUCAGUAACCAUAGUGAAACUAACAAAUAAAAUUAAACUAAACUAACAACUAAAUUAUCUUUAACUAACUAAAUUACUUUUCCCAAUGAAUAUAGUUGAAAUGGUGACUUAUUCAAGGGCUGUACUUACUUUUUCCAUACCACUGUAAAAAAAUUUUAGGAAAAGCACCAUCAGACAGAUGGCUAGAAAGAAAUCUUACUCAGAGAUUCAGAAAACGAAUAGAGAUAAAAUGAAUAAAAUCACAAAUUAAUUGCUUGGGUUUUUUUUUAACAGUACAUGUAAUAAGAACUCUGCUUAAUGGAAUCUACUCGGGUUUAAGUUUUCUGUUCUCCAUUAACACCUGAAAUCCCAGAAGAUCCAUUGUGUAAAAACCUCAAAGGCAUUAGUUGUCUCAUUCGAGUCUGGAUCAUUGUGUAAAUGAGUUAAAAACGUCUUCCUCUGCACAGGGCAAUUCUGUCCUGCAUAUAGGCCUACACAUGUAUAUAUCAGCACAUCAGCAGUGUUUCAUUCUCAACUGCAAAUGCAGCCCUCAAAGUAAAUAUUUUGAUGUCGGCAGAAGAACUCCCAUCACACCCACAGCUCUGUGUUGGUUGGCUGUGCGCUGUUGGUAUGUCUGUAAGCCUCAACAUGGCAGACUUCUUGGAGUGGCUCUGUAUGGCUGCAGCUGCUUGGACUGCACAUCUUGGCAUUUCCAUCCAAGGAAGAGGAUUCUAUUUUUUCCCCUCUCCAUUUUUGGCGGGAAAGCGAGUGAAUGACGGCAAGCAGACAGGCUGACCCAGGGCUCAGGUGGCAGCUGUGCUACGACUUCUCUGCCAGGUCAUGGCUGAUGGUAUGUCCACUUUUCCUCUUUUCAAUUUCCUUUCCUUUCUCUUUCUCCAUCGCUCACUUUUCAACUCAUUGC
Long non-coding RNA from Ictalurus punctatus (channel catfish), 1238 nucleotides. The record is from Ensembl. NCBI's taxonomy places the organism in Eukaryota, Metazoa, Chordata, Actinopteri, Siluriformes, Ictaluridae.